Molecule: ribosomal RNA, 1601 nt
Filed under: Morchella semilibera
Lineage: Eukaryota; Fungi; Ascomycota; Pezizomycetes; Pezizales; Morchellaceae
Description: SSU rRNA
Rfam family: Bacterial small subunit ribosomal RNA
Source: RNAcentral
UGGAAACACCUUAAAUAACCAAAAUUAGGUCAUCUUAACAAGGGAUGGCUGAUUGAAAAAGGUAAAAAAACGUUGAGUUUGAUGAUGGCUCUGAUUGAAUGCUAUUCAAAUGCUUGACACAUGCUAAUCAAACGUCUAUUUUUCUUUAUAAGCUAAGUGCUAGUAAUAUAAAUAAAUUAGAAAGUGGUGUACAGGUGAGCAAAUGGUAUGAUAACUGCCUUAGAGUAAGUGUGUGAUACCUUAUAAUAAGAAAGAAGUUACUGAUAAUAAUUUUGCUUUAAGAUGUUAUCUUAAUACCUCGAGUAAGUAGAGUAGUAGUAAAAGUAAUGGUUUAACUAGCUUUAUCUCGUAGUCGAGUCUGAAAGGUCCUUCGACCACAUUGGAACUGAGACAAGUUCAAUGCGAUUUAGCACAGCAGUGAGGAGUAUUGGUCAAUAGCCUAACGGCUGAACCAGCGAUUUGAAGGAAUGAAUAUCAACAUUUUAUUAUUUUGAAUAAAGUUCUGGCUAGAAUAAUGAUAAUGACAAUUUUCUAUCUAAAUGUCUUGACUAAGUCACGUGCCAGCAGUCGCGGUAAUACGUGAGAGACGAGCGUUAUUCAUCUUUAAUUGGUUUAAAGGGUACCUAGACGGUAAUUCUUGCCUUAGAAUGGGAACAGAAUUACUAGAGUUUUAUGUGAAAAGCUUAGAAUUGGUGGUGUAGAGAUAAUAUACAAAAAUACCAUUAGGACUGGUAAAGGCGAAGGCAAACUUUUAUGUAAAAACUGACGUUGAGGGACGAAGGCUGGGAUAGCAAACAGGAUUAGAUACCCUAGUAGCCCUAGCAGAAAAUGAUGAAUGCCAUAGGUUGUAUUAAAUGGCCUAUAAAUGAAAGUGUAAGCAUUCCACCUCAAGAGUAAUGUGGCAACACAGAAACUGAAAUCAUUAGACCGCCCCCGAGACCAGUAGUGAAGUAUGUUAUUUAAUUCGAUGGUCCACGAAAAAUCUUACCACAAUUUGAAUAUUUAGUGACAAGAAAUUAUGAUUAAUUUGUUAAAAAAAUAUAACUUUUUACAAGCGUUGCACGGCUGUCUACAGUUAAUACCGCGAGGGGUUGGUUGGCUCCAAGAAUUGACGUACACCCUAACUUUAUUUAAUACUAUGGUUUUUUAUUAUAAUAUUAUAAAGUAGUUCACCGAUAUAAUGGAUGUGAUAAUAGGGAUAAAGACAAGUCAUCAUGACCUUAAUAUUGUGGGCUAUAGACGUGCCACAUAUGCCUUCACAAAGGGAUGCUAAAAUGUGAAUAUUCGCUAAUCCCUAAAACAGGAGACAACAUGGAUUGUAGUCUGAAACUCGACUACAUGAAAAAGGAAUUACUAGUAAUCGUGUAUCACCAUGUCACGGUGAAUUUUUUUUCGGGAAGGUACUAACUACUCGUCAAGCGCUGAAAAGAGUUCAUGCAAUAAGUUUAGUGUAGGGCAGGUUUGGCUUUUUCCCACCGAGAUUAAGGGGGUGAGAAAAUCUGUCUUACAUUUUCGAAUGCGGAACUCUGAUUAGGGUUAAGUCGUAAUACGGUUCGUGUAGGUCAACUUGCACGGGAAUGAUUAAUUAAUAACAAUACCCC